RNAcentral lists this transfer RNA (70 nucleotides) under Madascincus pyrurus. Its description in RNAcentral is "tRNA-Gln". The record is from RNAcentral. Lineage: Eukaryota; Metazoa; Chordata; Lepidosauria; Squamata; Scincidae.
UUAGAAAAACAGGCCUUGAACCUGCCCUAGAAGGCCCAAAACCCCCUGUACUUCCACUAUACUACUUCCU